GUACUUCGGUACAUAGGAGACAGGUGGUGCAUGGUUGUCGUCAGCUCGUGUCGUGAGAUGUUGGGUUAAGUCCCGCAACGAGCGCAACCCUUAUCUUUAGUAGCCAGCAGUAAGAUGGGCACUCUAGAGAGACUGCCGGGGAUAACCCGGAGGAAGGGGGGGAUGACGUCAAAUCAUCAUGCCCCUUAUGACCAGGGCUACACACGUGCUACAAUGGCGUAAACAAAGAGAAGCGAAGUCGUGAGGCAGAGCGAAUCUCAAAAAUAACGUCUCAGUUCGGAUUGUAGUCUGCAACUCGACUACAUGAAGCUGGAAUCGCUAGUAAUCGCAGAUCAAAAUGCUGCGGUGAAUACGUUCCCGGGUCUUG
Molecule: ribosomal RNA, 367 nt
Filed under: uncultured bacterium
Lineage: Bacteria
Description: bacterial SSU rRNA
Rfam family: Bacterial small subunit ribosomal RNA
Source: RNAcentral